RNAcentral lists this long non-coding RNA (1119 nucleotides) under Crocodylus porosus (Australian saltwater crocodile). Its description in RNAcentral is "lncRNA (ENSCPRG00005002305.1)". The record is from RNAcentral. Lineage: Eukaryota; Metazoa; Chordata; Crocodylia; Crocodylidae.
UUACUCAGCAGUAAGUCAGGUUCCUGAGGGCAUGCCAUUCUUGUCUGUAAUGUUGUCUUGCUUAAAGUUCUAUAAUUUUGUUGCAGGGGUUGCACUGGGAAAAGUCGGCUAUUACAACAGCUUCGUCAUUACCGUAAAGAAGCAUCUCAGCCUCUUGCUAAAGCUUCAAAGCAGGUCAAAAGAGAUGGAGUAAGGCAGAAGUUUAAGAGUCUAGAAGGAAAAAACACCCUGAAAAUCAAGAGAAGGCAAUGUCUAAAAGUGAGAUGGGAAGCAGACAAGGUGAUUUCCAGGGUGCCAGUGAGAUCUGAACCAGAGAAAGGAAAUCUUCUUUUUCCAGGCCAUGUGAACCAUGGGACUGACCAUUCAAGAGAAAUCCAGAAAGAGACAGAGGAAGCUUCACAUUCAGAAAAUGCUCCAGAGCUCCCUCUCAAUAAAGCAACAAGGGCAGAAGAAAGCCAGAGAGAGCUGUCCCAAAAAGAAAAGCAGAUGAAAGAGAAACAUAGGAGGCAGAAACUACAGGAGCAGUUGGAGAGAUUGCAGCCUCAGCACUCAGUUACUGGAAAGCAGCCCAUGGCAGAGAAAACACCUCUUUUGUUUCACAUGGAAGCUUCUUCUUUGCCACAUAUUAACACAUUGCCUAGUCAUGACAGCAUGAAACAUGAGAUGCUUCUGAUGACAGUUUGGCUAUCCAGUUGUGGACAGGUAGCUGCUGCUUUUGGUCAGCAUGAUGGACAUUUCCCAGAGACUGUAUUGACAGCAGCCAACAUCUAUCAAGCCCUUGUUACUUGGCUUCUCUCCUUGGUACCUUCCUUGAAAGUGAAUGGUGGGAUCAAAGCUCCAUUCCAGGUGGUGGGGCUGCAGCAGAUCUGGCAAGAGGAUGGAUUAGCACUAUAUGCUUGCCUAAUUCCAGCUGACAGAUCUCCACCCCAGAACUGCAUCAAGAUCCAGAAGCACAAAGCAAAGGAAGACCUUGGAGGAUCCAUUUUUUACCAACAGAUUUCCACUUUUCUAUCCCAUACAUGGCUUCCAGAUGUUAUCUGGUGGGAAGCAGAACUGACCAAUUGCCUCCAGAACCAGCUAUAUUCACUCUGUCCUGAAAUUCCUACUGUUCGACUCAGC